This 65-nucleotide transfer RNA is filed under the name Morphostenophanes yunnanus. RNAcentral describes it as "tRNA-Leu". It matches the Rfam family "tRNA". Rfam says of the family: Transfer RNA (tRNA) molecules are approximately 80 nucleotides in length. Their secondary structure includes four short double-helical elements and three loops (D, anti-codon, and T loops). The record is from RNAcentral. Lineage: Eukaryota; Metazoa; Arthropoda; Insecta; Coleoptera; Tenebrionidae.
UCUAAUGUGGCAGAAUAGUGCAGUGGACUUAAGCCCCAAUUAUAAAGAUUCUUCUUUCUUUAGAA